ACGGGAAUAGCUCAGUUGGUAGAGCAUCGGUCUCCAAAACCGAGUGUCGGGAGUUCGAGUCUCUCUUCCCGUGCCG
RNAcentral lists this transfer RNA (76 nucleotides) under Bacteroides sp. An19. Its description in RNAcentral is "tRNA-Trp". It matches the Rfam family "tRNA". Rfam says of the family: Transfer RNA (tRNA) molecules are approximately 80 nucleotides in length. Their secondary structure includes four short double-helical elements and three loops (D, anti-codon, and T loops). Lineage: Bacteria; Pseudomonadati; Bacteroidota; Bacteroidia; Bacteroidales; Bacteroidaceae. The record is from RNAcentral.